AACGAACGCUGGCGGCAUGCCUAACACAUGCAAGUCGAACGAAGUCUUCGGACUUAGUGGCGCACGGGUGCGUAACGCGUGGGAAUCUGCCCUUGGGUACGGAAUAACUCAGAGAAAUUUGUGCUAAUACCGUAUAAUGUCUUCGGACCAAAGAUUUAUCGCCCAAGGAUGAGCGCGCGUAAGAUUAGCUAGUUGGUGGGGUAAAAGCCUACCAAGGCGACGAUCUUUAGCUGGUCUGAGAGGAUGAUCAGCCACACUGGGACUGAGACACGGCCCAGACUCCUACGGGAAGCAGCAGUAGGGAAUAUUGGACAAGGGACGAAGGUCUGAUCCAGCAAUGCCGCGUGAGUGAUGAAGGCCCUAGGGUUGUAAAGCUCUUUUACCAGGGAUGAUAAUGACAGUACCUGGAGAAUAAGCUCCGGCUAACUCCGUG
RNAcentral lists this ribosomal RNA (433 nucleotides) under uncultured bacterium. RNAcentral describes it as "partial 16S ribosomal RNA". It matches the Rfam family "Bacterial small subunit ribosomal RNA", at positions 29 to 507 of the family's 1533-position model. The record is from RNAcentral.